RNAcentral lists this unclassified non-coding RNA (391 nucleotides) under soil metagenome. Its description in RNAcentral is "partial contains 5.8S ribosomal RNA, internal transcribed spacer 2, and large subunit ribosomal RNA". The stretch from base 1 to 122 matches the Rfam family "5.8S ribosomal RNA", at positions 35 to 154 of the family's 154-position model. The record is from RNAcentral.
GAUGAAGAACGCAGUGAAAUGCGAUACUUGGUGUGAAUUGCAGAAUCCCGUGAACCAUCGAGUCUUUGAACGCAAGUUGCGCCCGAAGCCAUUAGGCCGAGGGCACGCCUGCCUGGGCGUCACACGUCGUUGCCCCCCCAUCUACUCCUUCGGGAUUGUGGGGGGCGGAUGAUGGCCUCCCGUGCGCCUCGUCGCGCGGUUGGCAUAAAUGCCAAGUCCUCGGCGACGCACGCCACGACAAUCGGUGGUUGCGAAACCUCGGUUGCCCGUCGUGUGCGGUCGUCGCGCAUCGAGGGCUCGAAAAAAUUGUCGGGCUCCGGCUCGGCUUUCAACGCGACCCCAGGUCAGGCGGGGUUACCCGCUGAAUUUAAGCAUAUCAAUAAGCGGAGGA